RNAcentral lists this long non-coding RNA (201 nucleotides) under Olea europaea (common olive). RNAcentral describes it as "long non-coding RNA (OEUR_LNC003202)". Lineage: Eukaryota; Viridiplantae; Streptophyta; Magnoliopsida; Lamiales; Oleaceae. The record is from RNAcentral.
GCCUAACUUAUAAAUCCAGAUAAUCUCUAUAUUUUCAAUAUAUUUCUAAAAAUAAAUUGCAUGUACAGUUCAAUGUUCGACCCCUUUUGCACUUGUAUUUUCAGCAUUUUAUACUUGAUUGUAUAAGUCUUAAAAAAUAGUCUUCUUCUCACAUCCGUACCUCAUCUACAACUUUUUUUUUAUCAGAAUUACAAAAGAAUG